This 300-nucleotide unclassified non-coding RNA is filed under the name plant metagenome. RNAcentral's name for it is "partial contains small subunit ribosomal RNA, internal transcribed spacer 1, and 5.8S ribosomal RNA". The record is from RNAcentral.
UUUCCGUAGGUGAACCUGCGGAAGGAUCAUUAUUGAAUAAACCUGAUUUGGCUGUUAGCUGGCUUUUCGUAGCAUGCGCUCGUCCGUCAUCUUUAUCUCUCCACCUGUGCACAUUUUGUAGUCUUGUAUACCUCUCGAGGCAACUCUGAUUUUAGGGUCGCUGUGCUGUACAAGUCGGCUUUCCUUUCAUUUCCAAGACUAUGUUUUUAUAUACACCAAAGUAUGUUUAAAGAAUGUCAUCAAUAGGAACUUGUUUACUAUAUAAUUAUACAACUUUCAGCAACGGAUCUCUUGGCUCUC